This is a non-coding RNA of Peromyscus eremicus (cactus mouse), 366 nucleotides long. NCBI's taxonomy places the organism in Eukaryota, Metazoa, Chordata, Mammalia, Rodentia, Cricetidae. The record is from the annotation of a RefSeq genome assembly.
AUGAAGACAUCCAUUCACACUUUACUCCUGUUCUUGUGCCUGUGGAUGGACUGGGAGAGCCAUGGAGAGCAGGUGGAACAGCAGCCUUCCACUCUGAGUGUUGGAGAGGGAGACAAUGCCAUCAUCAACUGCACUUACACAGACAGUGCUUUCUCAUACUUCCCUUGGUACAAGCAAGAAGCUGGGAAGAGCCCUCACUUUGUGAUAGACAUUUUUGAAAAUGUGGACAGAAAGCAAAACCAGAGACUUACCAUUUUAUUGGAUAAGAAAGCCAAAAAAUUCUCCCUGCACAUCACAGCCACACAGCCUGGAGACUCUGUCACCUACUUCUGUGCAGCAAGUGCACACUGGUUCCCAGGCACCUGA